Non-coding RNA from Pteronotus mesoamericanus, 435 nucleotides. Lineage: Eukaryota; Metazoa; Chordata; Mammalia; Chiroptera; Mormoopidae. The record is from the annotation of a RefSeq genome assembly.
AUGAGACUGCUGGAUCUUCUGUGCCUGGUGACAGCCCCGCUGGGUGUCCUGUCCCAGGUGAAGCUUCAGGAAUCAGGCCUAGGACUGGUUAAGCCCUCACAGACCCUCUCCCUCACCUGCACUGUCUCUGGAUUCUCUUUAACAAACUAUGAUGUGCAGUGGGCCCGCCAGGCUCCAGGGAAGGGGCUCGAGUGGGUCGGUGUUAUAUGGAGUGGUGGAAGCACAUAUUACAACCCAGCGCUGAAAUCCCGCCUCAGCAUCACCAGGGACACUUCCAAGAGCCAAGUCUAUUUGGCACUGAACAGCCUGAGAGCAGAUGACAUGGCCAUGUAUUACUGUGCAAGAGACACAGUGAAGGAAAGUCAGUGUGAGCCUAGACAGAAACCUCCUGCAGAAGACAGGAGGGCUGGAUUGCAGGAAGUGCUCAGGACAUGA